UCCUGCCAAAAUUCCCCAGGCCAACAAAAAGAAAGCCAAAUUUCAAUUAGUGAAAUCAUAGUAAUGGAUGUCCUUAUUGAGAUAUGCUUCACGAUAACCACCAUAAAUAGCACAACUAACCCCAGGGCCAGGAUAAACUUCCUAUAAUACAAAGCUGGUUGGAAUGAGGAGCGUCGGACAUUCAGUAGAAAACAAAACAACUCCUACAGUCUAUCAGGUUCCUCUUCUAUGGGCUGUGUAGUUCUUGAAGACUUGAUCAAAGACAC
This 266-nucleotide long non-coding RNA is filed under the name Capsicum annuum. RNAcentral describes it as "long non-coding RNA (CANN_LNC006695)". The record is from RNAcentral. Lineage: Eukaryota; Viridiplantae; Streptophyta; Magnoliopsida; Solanales; Solanaceae.